This 464-nucleotide ribosomal RNA is filed under the name uncultured bacterium. Its description in RNAcentral is "partial 16S ribosomal RNA". It matches the Rfam family "Bacterial small subunit ribosomal RNA", at positions 338 to 795 of the family's 1533-position model. The record is from RNAcentral.
CCUACGGGAGACAGCAGUAGGGAAUUUUCGGCAAUGGGGGGAACCCUGACCGAGCAACGCCGCGUGAAGGAAGAAGGAAUUCGUUCUGUAAACUUCUGUUAUAAAGGAAGAAAGACGGAUGGAGGAAAUGACAUCCGAGUGACGGUACUUUAUGAGAAAGCCACGGCUAACUACGUGCAAGCAGCCGCGGUAAUACGUAGGUGGCAAGCGUUAGCCGGAAGUAUUGGGCGAAAAGAGGGAGCAGGCGAAAGUAAAGAUCUGUGGUGAAAGACUGAAGCUAAACUUCGGUAAGCCGUAGUAACCGGCCAGCUAGAGUGCAGGGAAGGUACGCGGAAUUCGAGGUGUAGCGGUGAAAUGCGUAGAUAUAAGGAAGAACACCGAUGGCGAAGGCAGCGAACGGGAGUGCUACUGACGCUGAAGCCCGAAGGCGUGGGUAGCAAACAGGAUUAGAUACCCGUGUAGUC